GGGAGGCUGAGGCUUGGCGAGAGGAGGCCCCCACUCACGGUGACGCGCGACAUGUGAGCAGCAGGGCCAGGAUUCAGACAGAGAGAGGCCCAGCUGCCUCUGGCCACACCCACUCACGGUUAACCCAGGAGGAGAGAGAUGUGCUGGUCCCUUCUACCUGGGAGCCUCAGCGGACAGGAGUUGGAACUGGCCCUUGGAAGGUGGAUGCCCUGUAAAGCCCCUGGCCCAAGGUUCGGAAGAUCUCUUUGCCAGCUCUUUGGGAGAAUCUGUUCUCGUUGGUGUUGGUUUGGGGAGAGCCUGGAAGCUCUCAAAUCGUUCACUGGUUCUGGAUGCAGUAAAUCGCCACAAUUCCCUGAUCGACCAAGUUUUCCCAGGUAUGUAUAUGAACCAUGUGUGUGCAGUGCCAGAGGAUGCCAGAAGAGGGCAGCCGUCUUGGAGCUGGAGUCACACAGAUGGCUGUGAACUGCUUGUGGACAAUAGUGAUUGAACCCCAGCCCUCUGAAGAGCAGCCAGUGCUCUUAGCCGCUGAGCCAUCUCUCUAGUGCCACAAACAUCUCUCUCUCUCUCUCUCUCUCUCUCUCUCUCUCUGUGUGUGUCUCACAUAGAACUCACAGGGUCCGAGUCUGCCUGUGGACACAGAGAUAACAAUAAAGGAAACAUGCCAAAAUGUUCUCAAAAAGAGAAUGGCGUGAUGCUCUUGGUUAGUGGUCUUGCAAGGCUUUUA
Long non-coding RNA from Psammomys obesus (fat sand rat), 724 nucleotides. RefSeq lists it as uncharacterized. The transcript has 3 exons. The record is from RefSeq and is a predicted model, not a curated record. NCBI's taxonomy places the organism in Eukaryota, Metazoa, Chordata, Mammalia, Rodentia, Muridae.